GACGAACGCUGGCGGCGUGCUUAACACAUGCAAGUCGAACUGAAAGGCCCUGCUUUUGUGGGGUGCUCGAGUGUCGAACGGGUGAGUAACACGUGAGUAACCUGCCCUUGACUUUGGGAUAACUUCAGGAAACUGGGGCUAAUACCGGAUAGGAGCUCCUGCUGCAUGGUGGGGGUUGUAAAGUUUCGGCGGUUGGGGAUGGACUCGCGGCUUAUCAGCUUGUUGGUGGGGUAGUGGCUUACCAAGGCUUUGACGGGUAGCCGGCCUGAGAGGGUGACCGGCCACAUUGGGACUGAGAUACGGCGCAGACGCCUACGGGAGGCAGCAGUGGGGAAUAUUGCACAAUGGGCGGAAGCCUGAGGAAGAAACGCCGCGUGCGGGAUGACGGCCUUCGGGGUGUAAACAGCUGUCGCCUGUGACGAAGCGGGAGUGACGGUAAUGGAUAAAGAAGCACCGGCUAACUACGUG
Molecule: ribosomal RNA, 468 nt
Filed under: uncultured bacterium
Lineage: Bacteria
Description: partial 16S ribosomal RNA
Rfam family: Bacterial small subunit ribosomal RNA
Source: RNAcentral